UCUUAUGGGCGGGCCGUGGCGGGGAGGCGCUUGCGCCUGCCGUUUUUUGCUUUCGCGCCGGUCGACCAACCCUGCUAUCGUGCCGGCCCACCCAU
RNAcentral lists this non-coding RNA (95 nucleotides) under Burkholderia diffusa. Lineage: Bacteria; Pseudomonadati; Pseudomonadota; Betaproteobacteria; Burkholderiales; Burkholderiaceae. The record is from RNAcentral.